UACGGGGGGGGCAAGCGUUGUUCGGAAUUACUGGGCGUAAAGGGCGCGUAGGCGGUUGGAUAAGUCAGCUGUGAAAUCUCCAAGCUUAACUUGGAACGGUCAGCUGAUACUGAUGUGCUAGAGUGCAGAAGGGGCAAUCGGAAUUCUUGGUGUAGCGGUGAAAUGCGUAGAUAUCAAGAGGAACACCUGAGGUGAAGACGGGUUGCUGGGCUGACACUGACGCUGAGGCGCGAAAGCUAGGGGAGCAAACGGG
This 253-nucleotide ribosomal RNA is filed under the name uncultured bacterium. RNAcentral's name for it is "partial 16S ribosomal RNA". It matches the Rfam family "Bacterial small subunit ribosomal RNA", at positions 524 to 776 of the family's 1533-position model. The record is from RNAcentral.